Chinchilla lanigera (long-tailed chinchilla) is the source of this 428-nucleotide long non-coding RNA. RefSeq lists it as uncharacterized. NCBI's taxonomy places the organism in Eukaryota, Metazoa, Chordata, Mammalia, Rodentia, Chinchillidae. The record is from RefSeq and is a predicted model, not a curated record. The transcript has 3 exons.
AGGUCUUUAGGGUCAGAUAAGGUCAUCAGGGUGAACCUGCCAUUAUUAAAUACUAGAGGUAGCUGUGUAAGCAGGAGAGAGACACAUACAUUCUCCAUUACUCUUGGCGUGUAAAGCCCUGAGACACUUUCGAAUUUCACCAGCAAGAAGACCAUCAUCACCAGAUGUAAUUCCUCCAUCUUGGGCCAGAACUAGCAACAAAGGAGUCAGAGACAUUUGUGGAGGACUAGAAUGAAUGUAGAAUUAAAUAAGUGAAAGCUGCAGCAGAAAUCUUUAAGAUGAAUCAUCUUAAUUUUGCAAGGCUUCACCACAUUUUUAACAAGAAAGCUCGAAUUCAAAAGAAGAUAAGUUAUUAAAAUUCUGGCUACAGGAACAUAUGGAGAGAGUCUAGGCAUUUGUAUUUGCACUUGCCUGGAGACGGAGGGAAG